This 27-nucleotide non-coding RNA is filed under the name Homo sapiens (human). Lineage: Eukaryota; Metazoa; Chordata; Mammalia; Primates; Hominidae. The record is from RNAcentral.
UGUAAGUGUUUUCCUUGUAAAUGGCCC